This 491-nucleotide ribosomal RNA is filed under the name uncultured bacterium. RNAcentral's name for it is "partial 16S ribosomal RNA". It matches the Rfam family "Bacterial small subunit ribosomal RNA", at positions 29 to 507 of the family's 1533-position model. The record is from RNAcentral.
GUGACCGCUGGCGGUAGGCCUAACACAUGCAAGUCGAACGGCAGCACAGUAAGAGCUUGCUCUUACGGGUGGCGAGUGGCGGACGGGUGAGGAAUACAUCGGAAUCUACUUUUUCGUGGGGGAUAACGUAGGGAAACUUACGCUAAUACCGCAUACGACCUACGGGUGAAAGCAGGGGAUCUUCGGACCUUGCGCGAUUGAAUGAGCCGAUGUCGGAUUAGCUAGUUGGCGGGGUAAAGGCCCACCAAGGCGACGAUCCGUAGCUGGUCUGAGAGGAUGAUCAGCCACACUGGAACUGAGACACGGUCCAGACUCCUACGGGAGGCAGCAGUGGGGAAUAUUGGACAAUGGGCGCAAGCCUGAUCCAGCCAUACCGCGUGGGUGAAGAAGGCCUUCGGGUUGUAAAGCCCUUUUGUUGGGAAAGAAAAGCAGCAGGUUAAUACCCCGCUGUUCUGACGGUACCCAAAGAAUAAGCACCGGCUAACUUCGUG